AGUGAACGCUGGCGGUAGGCCUAACACAUGCAAGUCGAACGGCAGCACAGUAAGAGCUUGCUCUUACGGGUGGCGAGUGGCGGACGGGUGAGGAAUACAUCGGAAUCUACUUUUUCGUGGGGGAUAACGUAGGGAAACUUACGCUAAUACCGCAUACGACCUACGGGUGAAAGCAGGGGAUCUUCGGACCUUGCGCGAUUGAAUGAGCCGAUGUCGGAUUAGCUAGUUGGCGGGGUAAAGGCCCACCAAGGCGGCGAUCCGUAGCUGGUCUGAGAGGAUGAUCAGCCACACUGGAACUGAGACACGGUCCAGACUCCUACGGGAGGCAGCAGUGGGGAAUAUUGGACAAUGGGCGCAAGCCUGAUCCAGCCAUACCGCGUGGGUGAAGAAGGCCUUCGGGUUGUAAAGCCCUUUUGUUGGGAAAGAAAAGCAGCAGGUUAAUACCCCGCUGUUCUGACGGAACCCAAAGAAUAAGCACCGGCUAACUUCGUG
RNAcentral lists this ribosomal RNA (492 nucleotides) under uncultured bacterium. Its description in RNAcentral is "partial 16S ribosomal RNA". It matches the Rfam family "Bacterial small subunit ribosomal RNA", at positions 29 to 507 of the family's 1533-position model. The record is from RNAcentral.